GACGAACGCUGGCGGCGUGCUUAACACAUGCAAGUCGAACGGAAAGGCCCUGCUUUCGUGGGGUGCUCGAGUGGCGAACGGGUGAGUAACACGUGAGUAACCUGCCCUUGACUUUGGGAUAACUUCAGGAAACUGGGGCUAAUACCGGAUAGGAGCUCCUGCUGCAUGGUGGGGGUUGGAAAGUUUCGGCGGGUGGGGAUGGACUCGCGGCUUAUCAGCUUGUUGGUGGGGUAGUGGCUUACCAAGGCUUUGACGGGUAGCCGGCCUGAGAGGGUGACCGGCCACAUUGGGACUGCGAUACGGCCCAGUCUCCUACGGGAGGCAGCAGUGGGGAAUAUUGCACAAUGGGCGGGAGCCUGAUGCAGCAACGCCGCGUGCGGGAUGACGGCCUUCGGGUUGUAAACCGCUUUCGCCUGUGACGAAGCGUGAGUGACGGUAAUGGGUAAAGAAGCACCGGCUAACUACGUG
RNAcentral lists this ribosomal RNA (468 nucleotides) under uncultured bacterium. RNAcentral describes it as "partial 16S ribosomal RNA". It matches the Rfam family "Bacterial small subunit ribosomal RNA", at positions 28 to 507 of the family's 1533-position model. The record is from RNAcentral.